UUGUAGAAUGAAAUAAGAGAUAGAUAGCACCCUUGAAAGGAAGGUAAGUGCAUCAUAAACCCUGCACCCCACCCAUGAGAAUUUCACUGAAAUUUUCUCUCCAAUAAUUUU
Small nuclear RNA from Rhineura floridana, 111 nucleotides. Lineage: Eukaryota; Metazoa; Chordata; Lepidosauria; Squamata; Rhineuridae. The record is from RefSeq and is a predicted model, not a curated record.